RNAcentral lists this ribosomal RNA (254 nucleotides) under uncultured bacterium. RNAcentral describes it as "partial 16S ribosomal RNA". It matches the Rfam family "Bacterial small subunit ribosomal RNA", at positions 524 to 776 of the family's 1533-position model. The record is from RNAcentral.
UACGUAGGGGGCGAGCGUUGUCCGGAUUUAUUGGGCGUAAAGAGCUCGUAGGCGGCUCGGUAAGUCGGAUGUGAAACCUCCAGGCUCAACCUGGAGACGCCAUCUGAUACUGCCGUGGCUUGAGUCCGGUAGAGGAGCAGGGAAUUCCUGGUGUAGCGGUGAAAUGCGCAGAUAUCAGGAGGAACACCGAUGGCGAAGGCAGGUCUCUGGGCUGACACUGACGCUCAUGCACGAAAGCGUGGGGAGCAAACAGG